RNAcentral lists this unclassified non-coding RNA (378 nucleotides) under uncultured Actinomycetes bacterium. Its description in RNAcentral is "uncultured actinobacterium contains 16S-23S intergenic spacer region". Lineage: Bacteria; Bacillati; Actinomycetota; Actinomycetes. The record is from RNAcentral.
UCCGAGUUGUCCCCGGCAGUCUCCCAUGAGUCCCCGGCAUUAUCCGCUGGCAACAUGGGACAGGGGUUGCGCUCGUUGCGCCACUUAAGGCAACACCUCACGGCACGAGCUGACGACAGCCAUGCAGCACCUGUGCGGGCUCCCGAAGGAGCACCGUGUUUCCACGGCUGUCACCUACAUGUCAAGCCCAGGUAAGGUUCUUCGCGUUGCGUCGAAUUAAACCACAUGCUCCGCUGCUUGUGCGGGCCCCCGUCAAUUCCUUUGAGCUUUAGCCUUGCGGCCGUACUCCCCAGGCGGGGUGCUUAAUGCGUUAGCUUCGGCACGGACGGGGUCGAUAUCCGCCCACACCUAGCACCCAACGUUUACGGCUAGGACUAC